This 1409-nucleotide ribosomal RNA is filed under the name Klebsiella variicola. RNAcentral's name for it is "bacterial SSU rRNA". It matches the Rfam family "Bacterial small subunit ribosomal RNA". The record is from RNAcentral. Lineage: Bacteria; Pseudomonadati; Pseudomonadota; Gammaproteobacteria; Enterobacterales; Enterobacteriaceae.
UGAACGCUGGCGGCAGGCUAACACAUGCAGUCGAGCGGUAGCACAGAGAGCUUGCUCUCGGGUGACGAGCGGCGGACGGGUGAGUAAUGUCUGGGAAACUGCCUGAUGGAGGGGGAUAACUACUGGAAACGGUAGCUAAUACCGCAUAACGUCGCAAGACCAAAGUGGGGGACCUUCGGGCCUCAUGCCAUCAGAUGUGCCCAGAUGGGAUUAGCUGGUAGGUGGGGUAACGGCUCACCUAGGCGACGAUCCCUAGCUGGUCUGAGAGGAUGACCAGCCACACUGGAACUGAGACACGGUCCAGACUCCUACGGGAGGCAGCAGUGGGGAAUAUUGCACAAUGGGCGCAAGCCUGAUGCAGCCAUGCCGCGUGUGUGAAGAAGGCCUUCGGGUUGUAAAGCACUUUCAGCGGGGAGGAAGGCGGUGAGGUUAAUAACCUCACCGAUUGACGUUACCCGCAGAAGAAGCACCGGCUAACUCCGUGCCAGCAGCCGCGGUAAUACGGAGGGUGCAAGCGUUAAUCGGAAUUACUGGGCGUAAAGCGCACGCAGGCGGUCUGUCAAGUCGGAUGUGAAAUCCCCGGGCUCAACCUGGGAACUGCAUUCGAAACUGGCAGGCUAGAGUCUUGUAGAGGGGGGUAGAAUUCCAGGUGUAGCGGUGAAAUGCGUAGAGAUCUGGAGGAAUACCGGUGGCGAAGGCGGCCCCCUGGACAAAGACUGACGCUCAGGUGCGAAAGCGUGGGGAGCAAACAGGAUUAGAUACCCUGGUAGUCCACGCUGUAAACGAUGUCGAUUUGGAGGUUGUGCCCUUGAGGCGUGGCUUCCGGAGCUAACGCGUUAAAUCGACCGCCUGGGGAGUACGGCCGCAAGGUUAAAACUCAAAUGAAUUGACGGGGGCCCGCACAAGCGGUGGAGCAUGUGGUUUAAUUCGAUGCAACGCGAAGAACCUUACCUGGUCUUGACAUCCACAGAACUUUCCAGAGAUGGAUUGGUGCCUUCGGGAACUGUGAGACAGGUGCUGCAUGGCUGUCGUCAGCUCGUGUUGUGAAAUGUUGGGUUAAGUCCCGCAACGAGCGCAACCCUUAUCCUUUGUUGCCAGCGGUCCGGCCGGGAACUCAAAGGAGACUGCCAGUGAUAAACUGGAGGAAGGUGGGGAUGACGUCAAGUCAUCAUGGCCCUUACGACCAGGGCUACACACGUGCUACAAUGGCAUAUACAAAGAGAAGCGACCUCGCGAGAGCAAGCGGACCUCAUAAAGUAUGUCGUAGUCCGGAUUGGAGUCUGCAACUCGACUCCAUGAAGUCGGAAUCGCUAGUAAUCGUAGAUCAGAAUGCUACGGUGAAUACGUUCCCGGGCCUUGUACACACCGCCCGUCACACCAUGGGAGUGGGUUGCAAAAGAAGUAGGUAG